This 253-nucleotide ribosomal RNA is filed under the name uncultured bacterium. RNAcentral describes it as "partial 16S ribosomal RNA". It matches the Rfam family "Bacterial small subunit ribosomal RNA", at positions 524 to 776 of the family's 1533-position model. The record is from RNAcentral.
UACGUAGGGUGCAAGCGUUGUCCGGAAUUAUUGGGCGUAAAGGGCUCGUAGGCGGCCAACUAAGUCAGACGUGAAAUCCCUCGGCUUAACCGGGGAACUGCGUCUGAUACUGGUUGGCUUGAAUCCGGGAGAGGGAUGUGGAAUUCCAGGUGUAGCGGUGAAAUGCGUAGAUAUCUGGAGGAACACCGGUGGCGAAGGCGGCAUCCUGGACCGGUAUUGACGCUGAGGAGCGAAAGCCAGGGGAGCAAACGGG